Molecule: ribosomal RNA, 488 nt
Filed under: uncultured bacterium
Lineage: Bacteria
Description: partial 16S ribosomal RNA
Rfam family: Bacterial small subunit ribosomal RNA
Source: RNAcentral
GACGAACGCUGGCGGCGUGCUUAACACAUGCAAGUCGAACGGAAAGGCCCUGCUUUUGUGGGGUGCUCGAGUGGCGAACGGGUGAGUAACACGUGAGUAACAUGCCCUUGUCUUUGGGAUAACAUCAGGGAACUGGGGCUAAUACCGGAUAGGAGCUCCUGCAGCACGGUGGGGGUUGGAAAGAUUCGGCGGUGGGGGAUGGACUCGCGGCGUAUCAGCUUGUUGGUGGGGUAGUGGCUUAGGAGGGCUUGGAUGGGUAGCCGGCAUGAGAGGGUGGGCGGCCGCCCUGGAAGUGAGACCCGGCCCAGAGGCCUAGGGGAGGCACCAGGACGGAAUCGUGGGCAAUGGGGGAGAAACUGACGGAGAAAGGCCGAGUGAGGGAUGAAGGACUCCGGGUCGUGAAACUCUGUUUUUGGGGAAGAACACAUUUGCACGUAGGUAUGCGCGUGUUGACGGUAACUGGUGAAAAAGCCACGGCUAACUACGUG